GGGAUUGCCCUAGUAACGGCGAGUGAAGCGGCAACAGCUCAAAUUUGAAAUCUGGCCCUCGGGUCCGAGUUGUAAUUUGUAGAGGAUGCUUUUGGUGCGGUGCCUUCCGAGUUCCCUGGAACGGGACGCCAUAGAGGGUGAGAGCCCCGUCUGGUUGGACACCAAGCCUCUGUAAAGCUCCUUCGACGAGUCGAGUAGUUUGGGAAUGCUGCUCUAAAUGGGAGGUAUAUGUCUUCUAAAGCUAAAUACCGGCCAGAGACCGAUAGCGCACAAGUAGAGUGAUCGAAAGAUGAAAAGCACUUUGAAAAGAGGGUUAAAUAGUACGUGAAAUUGUUGAAAGGGAAGCGCUUAUGACCAGACUUGAGCCCGGUUAAUCAUCCAGCCUUCUGGCUGGUGCACUUGGCCGGCUCAGGCCAGCAUCAGUUCGGCGCGGGGGAUAAAGGCUUCGGGAAUGUGGCUCCUCCGGGAGUGUUAUAGCCCGUUGCGCAAUACCCUGCGCUGGACUGAGGUUCGCGCAUCUGCAAGGAUGCUGGCGUAAUGGUCAUCAGCGACCCGUCUUGAAACACGGACCAAGGAGUCGUCUUCGUAUGCGAGUGUUCGGGUGUCAAACCCCUACGCGUAAUGAAAGUGAACGCAGGUGAGAGCUUCGGCGCAUCAUCGACCGAUCCUGAUGUUCUCGGAUGGAUUUGAGUAAGAGCAUACGGGGCCGGACCCGAAAGAAGGUGAACUAUGCCUGUAUAGGGUGAAGCCAGAGGAAACUCUGGUGGAGGCUCGCAGCGGUUCUGACGUGCAAAUCGAUCGUCAAAUAUGGGCAUGGGGGCGAAAGACUAAUCGAACCUUCUAGUAGCUGGUUUCCGCCGAUU
Molecule: ribosomal RNA, 863 nt
Filed under: Pseudocosmospora vilior
Lineage: Eukaryota; Fungi; Ascomycota; Sordariomycetes; Hypocreales; Nectriaceae
Description: LSU rRNA
Rfam family: Eukaryotic large subunit ribosomal RNA
Source: RNAcentral